Molecule: ribosomal RNA, 487 nt
Filed under: Flavobacterium sp. WB2.2-18
Lineage: Bacteria; Pseudomonadati; Bacteroidota; Flavobacteriia; Flavobacteriales; Flavobacteriaceae
Description: bacterial SSU rRNA
Rfam family: Bacterial small subunit ribosomal RNA
Source: RNAcentral
UCCUGGCUCAGGAUGAACGCUAGCGGCAGGCUUAACACAUGCAAGUCGAGGGGUAUAGUUCUUCGGAAUUAGAGACCGGCGCACGGGUGCGUAACGCGUAUGCAAUCUACCUUUUGCAGAGGGAUAGCCCAGAGAAAUUUGGAUUAAUACCUCAUAGUAUAGCAGUUUCGCAUGAAACCACUAUUAAAGUCACAACGGCAAAAGAUGAGCAUGCGUCCCAUUAGCUAGUUGGUAAGGUAACGGCUUACCAAGGCUACGAUGGGUAGGGGUCCUGAGAGGGAGAUCCCCCACACUGGUACUGAGACACGGACCAGACUCCUACGGGAGGCAGCAGUGAGGAAUAUUGGACAAUGGGCGCAAGCCUGAUCCAGCCAUGCCGCGUGCAGGAUGACGGUCCUAUGGAUUGUAAACUGCUUUUGUACAGGAAGAAACACUCCCUCGUGAGGGAGCUUGACGGUACUGUAAGAAUAAGGAUCGGCUAACUCCG